Molecule: long non-coding RNA, 1426 nt
Filed under: Anas platyrhynchos platyrhynchos (common mallard)
Lineage: Eukaryota; Metazoa; Chordata; Aves; Anseriformes; Anatidae
Description: lncRNA (ENSAPLG00000029738.1)
Source: RNAcentral
AUGUCGUUUUCUUAUUGGAGACUUCUGGACAACACUGUACUGACAGGGUUCUGCCUUUCCCUUGAAUCUGGUCCUGGUACAAAGCCUGCCCCAAGAUCUCUCUGUGGCUUUCCAGCUGAGCUUCUGAGAUCCACAAUUACUAUUUUGGGAAUGGCAACAGAUAACAGAUUUCUUUAUUUUUAUUUUUCACUUUGUUGUACACAAAAAGGGGAAGGGCCAGGGACGAUAGUAGUGCCGCUCAGAGCAGGGCUCAAGGAAGGGAAGACUGCCCCUGGCACCACAGGCGGCACCUCGAGAACCUGGCCAGUCACCUGGCGCUGCACGUGUAGCGCCGGGUGCAUCCCAGAUGCACGAACCCCGUCUCGGCACAGGGAGACGGGACAUGAGCCGCAUGGCUCAGGCCCUCUGAUGAUAGCGCUAGCAUAGGGUUUCCUUUGGGGUGAAGCCAAAGGUGCCACUCUGCUAUGUCUGUACCUGCCUGGUAUCUACGGCAUAUAUUGUGCACAUCCUUCCACAAUUACACUUGACUGCUGUGAUGUCACGUUUGCUACAAAGCAAUGCUAACUUUGUGCAGUCAUCUGCUACUUGGUUUUAGAUGCUGGCAUACUCGUUCUAGCAUCAGAGAGUGUGGCUGUGGCUGGAAAAAAACAACCACCACCCUUCUCUUUCUGUAGGAGGGAGGAAGUCCCAACGACUCUCCAGAGAGACCACAGCUCCUCUUGGUGACCCCUCCAUACCUACAAUCCUCGGUGAUUCUCAGGUGCCUGAUGCUUUAGCAGAAUACAAAGUCCAUGAAGAGCAAUGACUGAUGGUCUUAACUUGCAAAAUUUACAACCUAAUUCUUUUACAUUGGGAAUUACAUUAUUUAUACUUUCCCAAUUAUUUAUAAUUGGGAAUUCCCCAAUUUAUUUAUAAUUGGGAAUUACAUUACAUAUUUAUAGUGCAACUGGGAAGAAAUAUCCUCUUCCAAACGAAAAUGCUGGCAGUGAGUUUUUUAAAGUAUUGCGAUAUUUUUCAUUCAAUCCAGAAGUAAAUUUGUAACACUUUCCUUGGUUCACCCUGACAGGCUUUGGAAUGCUCACUUCCACAAAUAUUCUGUCCUCCCAUAUUUCGCAGGCUCCCAAGACAGAAUUCUGAGACUGUUUUGAUCUGCACACACAGAUAUACAGACAGAUCACUUCUGCCACCCUAAUGAUGGACAAAAACUUGUGUCUGUUCUUUCAAUCAUGUUUAUAAUGCAAGUGUUCCAUUAUAAAAUAGUAAUUACAAUACAAAAUUUAGAUCAUCAUAAACAACUAGCUUCUCUACAUUUAGCAUUUUUGUUUUUGCUGAGGAAUCCCUCAAUUUCACUAACAAUUCUAUUUCAGCAGAUUUCAGCGGAACUACUUAUGCAAGCUUUAACAUUAACAGCAUAAAAACUGAGACU